Meleagris gallopavo (turkey) is the source of this 2193-nucleotide non-coding RNA. NCBI's taxonomy places the organism in Eukaryota, Metazoa, Chordata, Aves, Galliformes, Phasianidae. The record is from RefSeq and is a predicted model, not a curated record.
UGUCAUUAGGCAUCCACUGUUUAUUAGGAGUUUGUUACAUUUCUAUGCAUAUUCAUGCUAACUGAAUUUACAUCUGUCUUGCAACAUGGAAAAGACAUUGCAGAAGGCAGUGAGAUGAUUAAUCAUUUCAAACUCAGAAUUCAUAGCAGGUAAUAUGGAGUCAGUAUAAAUAAAAGGACAGACCAACACCAUGCAUAAUACGAUAUAUGUGCAUGACUGGUUGAUUCAGCCCCAGAAAAGCUUAGGAGAGGUCUGGGAAACUCUGUGUGUGCAGCUGCUACUCAUGUGUGGAUCCUCCUAAUCCGCUCCUUCGCUGUAACAUGCCCACCACUGUGCUAUCUGUUUACACACCUCAGACUCCAACGCAUACAUGUGUUGACCUGCUUGAUCUGAAUUACAAUCUGAACCUACUUGCCCAACUGGCCUUACAUCUAGGUGACUUGUUUGUGGAACUUCUUAAAAUGGCAAAAUAAAUAAAUAAAUAAAUAAAUAAAUAAAUAAUCCAUGCGGUACUAUCCUCCCAGUGUGUUCCUCAUUUUUUCAUCUCUUAUAUGCCAGGCUUAUUCUCUGGCCAGCAAAAAAUUAGUAACUAGGACCAUAUCUCAUUUUCCCAUUUGUAGAACCCCCCAAACCAUCCAGGUACUUUCCCGGAGACUCCAGCAGUUGUGACCAGUGUAUUGAUCUCUGCAGAGGUGGUAUAUGGGAACUGUUGAGUCAGCCUGAACUACUGAUUGAGCACCUGGGGAAAGGACUAGGACAGCCCUGGGAGCACAGGUGAAGGCAAUUCAGCUGCAUGACCAGAAGGGUUGGAGCCUGGUUCCAUCUCUCUUAGACCUCAUUUAAGGGCUGACUGCCACUGGGGAAGGAUCUCUGGUUAGAGAUCAUCUUUGUGGAGUCAUUUCUGUGAGCCUAGGCUUUUGGAGAUGGGUGGUAAGACGAACAUUUCACCUGAAGGAAAUCCUCAGAAGCUGUUAACACCACUAACAGAGAAGGAUUUGAGACAUCAGACACUGAAUUAUACUGGUGGUGUUACUGCCAGUAAAGACAGUCCAAGUCUGGAAUGAAGAUAAAACCAAGGGUACCUACAAUGGCUGGGUGAUAACAUCAACAGUAUUAACACCUGCUCAGUCUUCUACUCUGGUCUCCAGGAAAAGGAAAGAGAAAUGGUCACUCUCAGCCUGCGUGUUUUAAGGCAAGAAGACUAGGUCCUCCUUUCCUCACUCCUCACAUGUUGGGGUAUGAGGCCAGAAAGCCUGGCAGCCCUGCAUGAUGUUCAGAUUUUUCUGCGUGCUCUUGGGUGAUGCUAUGCUUUAUCAGCUUUAUAGAGAGGGUCUGUUAUGAAGCCUGUCCUAAGGGCAAAAUGCCUCUUGAAGCAGAGCCAUUUCACAACAUACAGAUAAGUAAACAGUGAGUAAGAAAUUAAUGAUCUGGAUAAAGCUAUGGUUGAUUUGAUUGUUGUGUAUUUUCCCAGGGAAGAAGAGAACAAAUGUGUCACUCACAUCCCCAUCAUCCAUGAAGUUGGAUAAAUCUUUCAUCCCAUUCAUAUGUCAGAGAACCUCAGCAAACUGCAUUAUCUCCUUAAAUCAAAGCAACUGUUAACUCUUAAAUUAAAUGCUGCCUUCUCAGUGUAUGGUACAUGUGUUGGCCAAGGUCACCCAGAUAUUCCCAUCCAUUUGCCUGUUGUUAUUUGGCUCCAUGUUCAGGCCCCUACAGAGGUGAAUGUGUUUCAUUCUGCUCAUCAGGAAAAUUACCUCAGCAUGGUGUAUUGACACCGGAGGCAUGGCAGGAAUCCAAAGAUGCAGUAGAUUAAAAGUGCCUGAUCAAAUUUGGAACAAGUCUCAUUUCUAUCUGGGGGCUUCCUUCUGAGAAAAUUGUACAUCAAGAUAUUUUGUUUUUAUAAAUUGUUUUUAUACACAGAGUGACUUGAGCAGUUAUUGAUUAUGAGAGUAAGGUAGCAACCCAGUAAUAAAAUCAAAGAAGAAAAAUAUACUGUGUUGAGGAUCUAAAGCAUAGUUCCUAAUUUCAGUACUAAUGUUACCAAUUAUGGACCACUCCUGUUUGUUCUGUGGCAUGUUUCUGGUCCUACCUCAGGACCAAAAUGGGAUGCACCUUGGUGCCUGCCUUGCUUCCCCCUCACAUGAAAAGAUACUGACCAGUGCUUCAUGAUCUUACUGCCUGCACUCCCUAAAUCAU